This is a long non-coding RNA of Athene cunicularia (burrowing owl), 286 nucleotides long. RefSeq lists it as uncharacterized. The record is from RefSeq and is a predicted model, not a curated record. The transcript is spliced from 3 exons. NCBI's taxonomy places the organism in Eukaryota, Metazoa, Chordata, Aves, Strigiformes, Strigidae.
AGCCGCCGGCCAGUGCCCGGCGGGUGCUGCUGCCCGCACCGGGCAGGUCCCCGCCUGCAGCGCUACUGCAUCGUGCCCGAGGAAGAAGCUCAGUAUGAAGUCAACUUGUUAUGAGUACCCGGCCACUGUACCAGUCAGGAAAGCUGUAUGCUUUUAUCUGCAGAAAUGCAACCGGAACGAAAUGCCAACAGGUACAGCCAGCCAUCGUAAGUGCAGUACAAGGUAAUGUUUCCUCCUCUGCAGAAUAAAAACCCAAAAAAGCAACAAAAAAAACUGAAUUACUGAG